Molecule: non-coding RNA, 251 nt
Filed under: Herbinix sp.
Lineage: Bacteria; Bacillati; Bacillota; Clostridia; Lachnospirales; Lachnospiraceae
Description: T-box sequence
Rfam family: T-box leader
About the family: Uncharged tRNA acts as the effector for transcription antitermination of genes in the T-box leader family. T-boxes are found upstream of many aminoacyl-tRNA synthetase genes and some amino acid biosynthetic genes usually in Gram-positive bacteria. The anticodon of a specific tRNA base pairs to a specifier sequence within the T-box motif, and the NCCA acceptor tail of the tRNA base pairs to a conserved bulge in the T-box antiterminator hairpin.
Source: RNAcentral
CAUAAACCGUCGAGUAAGAAUAGUAAGUAUUAUCAUUAUUUACAGAGAGUUGCAGAGGGUGGAAUUGCAAUAAUAAAUGUAAUACUGAAUGGACUUACGAGGGCAGGAAGAAAAUCAGCAAUGCUGACGAGUAAUACCUGACGGUAUCUCCAACCGUUAUCAAGGGAGCAUGUAUAUAUGUACAUGGAAUAAGUGGGUGCAGCCGCACCAAACCGGGUGGUACCGCAGAAGUCUAAGCUUUUGUCCCAGUG